Molecule: long non-coding RNA, 3749 nt
Filed under: Homo sapiens (human)
Lineage: Eukaryota; Metazoa; Chordata; Mammalia; Primates; Hominidae
Description: HSALNT0262825
Source: RNAcentral
AGAACAAACAAGAUCCCCAUUCUCCUGGCAUCCGUACGAGCUGGUCACAGAGCAUUUUGCUUUGCAACAAAAGACGUUCUUGUUUCAGUCCAGACACACUUGGGACAGGUAAUGCUUUGAAAGGUACUUAUUGCUUUUUUCAACAAACGUUUAUUAAGUACCUACUUGUGCCAAGCUGAAGUUUUGAGUCCCCACCCUCCAAGUCUGGUUUUGGGGACUUCCUCUUUUCAUUCCUCAACCCCCUCGCCUUCCGCACCCUGCUGCGGUUUCCCUGGUGACAGCCCGAGCCCGCCUCAGUGGUCCCACCAGUCCUUGCCUUCUGCCAGGAACGGUUCAAGGUACGCAGAACGCAAUGAUCGUCAAACGCAAGCCAGCUCUGUCCUUGUUAUGGGCUGAAUCGUGUCCUACUCCCUCAAAAGAAAUCCAUAUGUUGAAGCCCUGACCCUCAGUAUCUCAGGAUGAGAUUGUAUUUGGGGCUGGAUUUUUAAAGAGGUGAUUACCUUAAAAUGAGGAUUUAAGUGUGGGCCCUCUUUCAACGGGUGUGUGUCCUUAUAAGAAGAGGAGAUUAGGACACAGACACACACAGAGGGACGACCCCGUGCACGAGCCAAGGAGGCCUCAGGGGAAACCAACACUGCUACACCUUGACCUUGAACUUCCAGCCUCCAGAACUCUGAGAAAACAAAUCCGUGCUGUUGAAGCCUCUCAGCAUGCAGUGCUUUGCUAUGUCAGCCCCUGGAAAAUUCAUACAGCCCAUGUUCCCAUGGGAGUCUUGUGGGACAGAGAUCUUGAUUAAAGAAAAAAAAAAGGGCUGGGUGCAGUGGCUCAUGCCUGUAAUCCCAGCACUUGGGAGGCCGAGGCCAGCAGAUCACUUGAGGUUGGUGGAUCACCUGAGGUCGGGAGUUCGAGACCAGCCUGACCAACAUGGAGAAACCCCUAUCUCUACUAAAAAAAUACAAAAUGAGCCGGGCGUGGUGGUGCAUGCCUGUAAUCCCAGCUACUCGGGAGGCUGAGGCAGGAGAAUCCCUUGAACCUGGGAGGCAGAGGUUGCAGUGAGCCGAGAUCAUGCCACUGCACUCCAGCUGGGGCAACAAGAGAGAAACUCCAUCUCAAAAAAAAAAAAAAAUCUCUAGUACAGUCAGUAAACACACAUAGCGCCUACCGGGCUCCAAACAAUCGCUCCAGCUCCAGUCCCCGACCCUCCCCACGUAACCCUGCUCCCCAGAGGCACCAGCCUUCGCCCAGUCCUUUGGAUGUGCACGCUCGUUCCCACCUCUGAACCUUGGCAGUUUGCCGUUUCCCUCCCCUGUCUCGCUCUCUCUGGAUUUUCCCAGGCCUGGAUUCUUCCUGAUAGGUCAUUCUUGAUAGUCAAAGGUUUGCUGAAAUGUCACCUUCUUAGAGAAAUUCUCCCCACCUCUCCCACAACCACUAUCAUGUCAGCUUGCUUUACAUGUCAAAUGGUGUGUAGUGAGUGACUGCUAUUAGCAAUGACUCUGAUUGAUUUUUGUUCUGGUCGGCUUCUCAUCUGCUGGAAUAGAAGCCCCAUGAGGGCAGGAAUACGUGUCUUUACCCACGUAUUCCCAGUGCCUAGCAAGGUAAAUAUCAAUGGCAUGAAUGAAUGAAUGAAUGAAGAGCUUCUCAGAGCACUCUGAGUCUCUGUUGUCACAGGUAGGUCUCUGAAUUCUACUAAGCUCAUUGCAGGGGAAAUUCAGAGCUUUCUUGAAUCAGGGAGGACUUGGACCACCUCCUUCUCACGCCCCUCUACACACUCACCUGGGCAGGGCAGGUGUGGGCCGGGGUUCCCUCCCUGUGGUCAGGUUGGACUGUACCACCUCUGGGUGUCCUGAGAAUUCCUCCCCACUCUCUUUUGGCCACAUAGCAGCAGGAAACCUCUGUUGGGGAAGGAGCGGUGUGGUUUCUGCUCAUAGUUCCAGGGUUCAGUGGGUAGGGGUGGGGGUUGAUGGGGACAUGUCUAGCCUGAAUCUUUCCUGCUCCAUCCUACGGGAGGGCCUGAGAUCUUCAAUGCGAUGCAAAGGAACAAUGCAGACAGGGAGAGGAGCAGAUGGGGCAGGGGAGGGAUACAGCCCAGCAGGGUCUUCCAACUUGUACAGGAAGCUUAUAAACUGAGGUGGUAUUUUUUUGUUUUUUUGUUUUUUUGACAUGGAGUCUCGCUGUCAUCCAGGUUGAAGUGCAGAGGCAUGAUCUCAGUUCACCACAACCUCCACCUUCUGGGUUCAAGCAAUUCUCCUGCCUCAAACUCCCCAGUAGAUGGGAUUACAGGCACGCACUACCACACCCGGCUCAUUUUUGUAUUUUUAGUAGAGACGGGGUUUCAACGUGUUGGUCAGGCUGGUCUCGAACUCCUGACCUAAAGUGACCUGCCCGCCUUGGCCUCCCAAAGUGCUAGGAUUACAGGCGUGAGCCACUGUGCCCAUCCUGAUGUAGUAUUUUUAGUCCGAGAAAAACACAAUUUUCUAGCAUAAAUUUUCUUUUAAUCUUGAACAAUUGCUCAUAAAGACACAUCCUGAGGGCACACUGACCUCCAGAUUCAUCCAAUGUCUCCAUGGCUGUAAAUCUUGACAUUUUCAACUAAAAACAAGCAAACCUGAUUUUUCCUAAGUGUUUCCAGCUAAAAGAUGUCAAUUGCUACAAUUUAGUUUCCAGAUGAUCUGUCAUUUUGAACAAACUUUAAACUUUAAUAUUGCACUACAUUCUUAAAUGAAACAAAAAAACUGCACAAAUCUUUGCUUGUCACAGCCAUCUAUCAUUUUAUGAAACUGAUGCCUGUCCUUCAUUACUCUGAGGUUAAAAGCUUUUGUUCAGCUUGCCUGAGGUUUGAAAAAGAACUGUACUAGCUUUGCUUACCAUACUUCCUACUUUUCAUAAUAUAUAGUAUUAGACUGUAUUUGAACUGAUUACGAGGGGUAUUUUGUGUUUAUCCAAAUGUAAGGAUCAUUUCUUGUAGUAAUGGGCAAGAUGCCUAUUGCAGAAUGCAUAAGGUUUUUACCACAGUCUAAAAUCAUAAAAGUAAAAAUAUAUUGAUUACAAGUUUUCAGAUUUUUUUCCAGGUUACUCGGAUUUGAUUCAUGGCAAAUACUCUUUAUUUUUGUUUUUUUAAACAGGCUCAUUCCCAAGUAUAUAAAUUGUCAAUGGUGGGAAAAUAUAAAGAAAUUUCUUUUAUGUAAAAAAAAAAAACCAUGAUAAAAAGAGAAUCAGCACUCUGUGUUCAAAAAUUAUUUAUGAUAUUUGUUACAGAUUUAUCUCUCUAAUUAUCAUAAUUGGGUUGCCACUUAAGACAAUCUUUGUUUUAAAAAUGUUGUGUAUUGUUAAAAUGUUAUUACCCUGUGCAAGAAAAUUGUUUGAUCUAUUUAUACCUUCUCUUGUGGUAAAAUUAUUCUUAAAUUGUUGUAUUCCUAUACUCUGAAGACAUUUAAAAUAAGUUUUCGUGCCUGUGUAAGUAGACUCUUCAGAAAUUAAUUGAAGAAUUUGUUGUUUCUUUUGACAAAAUACUUAUGUAAAUAUUGGUAGUAUAAAAAUUUUGCAUACCUUUAAGCAUCAACUCUAUGCAUCCAUGUUGGCAAUGGGCAGUAAACUAUGCAAUCUCACAAAAAGUAUUUGUUGUUUAUCUGAAAUUCGAAUUUUACUGGGCAGCCUGAAUUUUUAUUUGCUCAAUCUGGUGACUUUAAAAAGUGGCAAGAACAGUAUUAAUAAUAGUGGCAAGUGUUUCUUAAAUGCUUGCUAAGUACCAG